This 595-nucleotide ribosomal RNA is filed under the name uncultured Bacteroidota bacterium. RNAcentral describes it as "bacterial SSU rRNA". It matches the Rfam family "Bacterial small subunit ribosomal RNA", at positions 122 to 715 of the family's 1533-position model. Lineage: Bacteria; Pseudomonadati; Bacteroidota. The record is from RNAcentral.
CAACCUGCCCACCACUUGGGGAUAACCUUGCGAAAGUAAGACUAAUACCCAAUGAUAUCUCUAGAAGCCAUCUGAAAGAGAUUAAAGAUUUAUCGGUGAUGGAUGGGGAUGCGUCUGAUUAGCUUGUUGGCGGGGUAACGGCCCACCAAGGCGACGAUCAGUAGGGGUUCUGAGAGGAAGGUCCCCCACAUUGGAACUGAGACACGGUCCAAACUCCUACGGGAGGCAGCAGUGAGGAAUACUGGUCAAUGGACGAGAGUCUGAACCAGCCAAGUAGCGUGCAGGAAGACGGCCCUAUGGGUUGUAAACUGCUUUUAUAAGGGAAUAAAGUGAGAGUCGUGACUCUUUUUGCAUGUACCUUAUGAAUAAGGACCGGCUAAUUCCGUGCCAGCAGCCGCGGUAAUACGGAAGGUCCGGGCGUUAUCCGGAUUUAUUGGGUUCAAAGGGAGCGUAGGCCGGAGAUUAAGCGUGUUGUGAAAUGUAGAUGCUCAACAUCUGAACUGCAGCGCGAACUGGUUUCCUUGAGUACGCACAAAGUGGGCGGAAUUCGUGGUGUAGCGGUGAAAUGCUUAGAUAUCACGAAGAACUCCGAUUG